RNAcentral lists this ribosomal RNA (469 nucleotides) under uncultured bacterium. RNAcentral describes it as "SSU rRNA". It matches the Rfam family "Bacterial small subunit ribosomal RNA", at positions 26 to 518 of the family's 1533-position model. The record is from RNAcentral.
AGAACGAACGCUGGCGGCAGGCUUAACACAUGCAAGUCGAACGCUGUAGCAAUACAGAGUGGCGCACGGGUGAGUAAUACUUGGGAACGUGCCUUGGAGUCUGGGAUAACCACGGGAAACUGUGGCUAAUACCGGAUAUUCCCCUCGGGGGAAAGAUUUAUCGCUCCAAGAUCGGCCCAAGCCAGAUUAGGUAGUUGGUGGGGUAAUGGCCUACCAAGCCUACGAUCUGUAGCUGGUCUGAGAGGACGACCAGCCACACUGGAACUGAGACACGGUCCAGACUCCUACGGGAGGCAGCAGUGGGGAAUAUGGACAAUGGGCGCAAGCCUGAUCCAGCCACGCCGCGUGAGUGAUGAAGGCCUUCGGGUCGUAAAGCUCUGUGGGGAGGGACGAACCGCUGGGUAUUAAUACCAUCCAGCAUGACGGUACCUCCUUAGCAAGCACCGGCUAACUUCGUGCCAGCAGCCGC